This 701-nucleotide ribosomal RNA is filed under the name Erwinia sp. RNAcentral describes it as "bacterial SSU rRNA". It matches the Rfam family "Bacterial small subunit ribosomal RNA", at positions 786 to 1486 of the family's 1533-position model. The record is from RNAcentral. Lineage: Bacteria; Pseudomonadati; Pseudomonadota; Gammaproteobacteria; Enterobacterales; Erwiniaceae.
CCUGGUAGUCCACGCCGUAAACGAUGUCGACUUGGAGGUUGUGCCCUUGAGGCGUGGCUUCCGGAGCUAACGCGUUAAGUCGACCGCCUGGGGAGUACGGCCGCAAGGUUAAAACUCAAAUGAAUUGACGGGGGCCCGCACAAGCGGUGGAGCAUGUGGUUUAAUUCGAUGCAACGCGAAGAACCUUACCUGGCCUUGACAUCCACGGAAUUCGGCAGAGAUGCCUUAGUGCCUUCGGGAACCGUGAGACAGGUGCUGCAUGGCUGUCGUCAGCUCGUGUUGUGAAAUGUUGGGUUAAGUCCCGCAACGAGCGCAACCCUUAUCCUUUGUUGCCAGCGAGUAAUGUCGGGAACUCAAAGGAGACUGCCGGUGACAAACCGGAGGAAGGUGGGGAUGACGUCAAGUCAUCAUGGCCCUUACGGCCAGGGCUACACACGUGCUACAAUGGCGCAUACAAAGAGAAGCGAACUCGCGAGAGCAAGCGGACCUCACAAAGUGCGUCGUAGUCCGGAUCGGAGUCUGCAACUCGACUCCGUGAAGUCGGAAUCGCUAGUAAUCGUAGAUCAGAAUGCUACGGUGAAUACGUUCCCGGGCCUUGUACACACCGCCCGUCACACCAUGGGAGUGGGUUGCAAAAGAAGUAGGUAGCUUAACCUUCGGGAGGGCGCUUACCACUUUGUGAUUCAUGACUGGGGUGAAGU